GAUGAACGCUAGCUACAGGCUUAACACAUGCAAGUCGAGGGGCAGCAUGGUCUUAGCUUGCUAAGGCCGAUGGCGACCGGCGCACGGGUGAGUAACACGUAUCCAACCUGCCGUCUACUCUUGGACAGCCUUCUGAAAGGAAGAUUAAUACAAGAUGGCAUCAUGAGUCCGCAUGUUCACAUGAUUAAAGGUAUUCCGGUAGACGAUGGGGAUGCGUUCCAUUAGAUAGUAGGCGGGGUAACGGCCCACCUAGUCUUCGAUGGAUAGGGGUUCUGAGAGGAAGGUCCCCCACGUUGGAACUGAGACACGGUCCAAACUCCUACGGGAGGCAGCAGUGAGGAAUAGUGGUCAAUGGGCGAGAGCCUGAACCAGCCAAGUAGCGUGAAGGAUGACUGCCCUAUGGGUUGUAAAAUUCUUUUAUAAAGGAAUAAAGUCGGGUAUGGAUACCCGUUUGCAUGUACUUUAUGAAUAAGGAUCGGCUAACUCCGUG
RNAcentral lists this ribosomal RNA (490 nucleotides) under uncultured bacterium. RNAcentral's name for it is "partial 16S ribosomal RNA". It matches the Rfam family "Bacterial small subunit ribosomal RNA", at positions 28 to 507 of the family's 1533-position model. The record is from RNAcentral.